GUCAUUAUUAACUGAACAGCUGCACCCAAAAAGUAUUGAUUAAUAGAUCAGCGUCAGGCUACAAGGGGGCCAACAUCAAUAUGGUGCAGGCAAUGUCCUAGCCUGCCCUCUGCCCUGUUCAGAAUUUCUUCCAACUGCUGAAUGAACACCCAGGAAGUAUUUGCAUCUCAAAAACUGGGAGUGAUAGUUAAUAUUUAGGAUCACAAAAUCGAGAUUGAAGAAACUUCAAUAAAAUAGCAUUAUGAAGUAGAGCAUGAUGUAUGCUGGAUCAGAAAAUAAAUGCUAUAAUAUGGUACAAAGAGAAGAGCUGGCCUAAUAUUGUUUUUAAUGGAGUAAGCGCAUGAGCAAACAAAAACCGGAAGGAAGUUAGUACUCAUAUAGUUAGAAAUAAAGAGAAAGGGAAACUGAUAUGAACUCAGCCUGUAUUUUGGGCCAAGUGCGAUCACAGGCAUUUUGUAGAUCUUAAGGAGUCGAACACAAUCCUAGACUAUGUUAACAGGAUUGAGUGGCCAGAAUAAAGGGUGGACUAUUACAUGGUCUGCUGAGACGUUCAAACAAUAUGUGGAAUAUUGUGCCCAACCAACUGGAGAGACACGUAAACUUUGAACGGUUGUGAUCAUAUCCUGUCAGGAUGACCGGUUUGUACAUGACCGAUGGCACACUACGGCUCCACAAUCACCAGAUUAUUUUCCACAGAGUAGCGAGUGGGGAAGUCACGUAUAUGCACCGUGAAUAGUUUCUGUUUUGCAAGAGCCUGUCUAAAGGUCUGUUUAUAAAUGCUAUCUUGUACAUUCACUUAAUUAGUUAAUUAAUUAAUUAAUAUUUAUUUGAGACAA
This 836-nucleotide long non-coding RNA is filed under the name Macaca nemestrina (pig-tailed macaque). RNAcentral's name for it is "lncRNA (ENSMNEG00000045910.1)". Lineage: Eukaryota; Metazoa; Chordata; Mammalia; Primates; Cercopithecidae. The record is from RNAcentral.